This 497-nucleotide ribosomal RNA is filed under the name uncultured bacterium. RNAcentral's name for it is "partial 16S ribosomal RNA". It matches the Rfam family "Bacterial small subunit ribosomal RNA", at positions 29 to 507 of the family's 1533-position model. The record is from RNAcentral.
ACGAACGCUGGCGGCGUGCCUAAUACAUGCAAGUCGAACGAGAGCGACCGGUGCUUGCACUGGUCAAUCUAGUGGCGAACGGGUGAGUAACACGUGGGUAACCUGCCCAUCAGAGGGGGAUAACAUCCGGAAACGGAUGCUAAAACCGCAUAGGUCUUCGAGCCGCAUGGCUUGAAGAGGAAAAGAGGCGCAAGCUUCUGCUGAUGGAUGGACCCGCGGUGCAUUAGCUAGUUGGUGAGGUAACGGCUCACCAAGGCCGUGAUGCAUAGCCGACCUGAGAGGGUGAUCGGCCACAUUGGGACUGAGACACGGCCCAAACUCCUACGGGAGGCAGCAGUAGGGAAUCUUCCGCAAUGGACGCAAGUCUGACGGAGCAACGCCGCGUGAGUGAAGAAGGUUUUCGGAUCGUAAAACUCCGUUGUUAGAGAAGAACAAGUGCUAGAGUAACUGUUAGCGCCUUGACGGUAUCUAACCAGAAAGCCACGGCUAACUACGUG